GCGGCAAACGGGUGAGUAAUAUCUGGGAAUCUACCCAAAAGAGGGGGAUAACUACUAGAAAUGGUAGCUAAUACCGCAUAAAGUUGAAAAACCAAAGUGGGGGACCUUCAUAAGCCUCAUGCUUUUGGAUGAGCCCAGAAGAGAUUAGCUUGUUGGUAAGAUAAAAGCUUACCAAGGCAACGAUCUCUAGCUGGUCUGAGAGGAUAACCAGCCACACUGGAACUGAGACACGGUCCAGACUCCUACGGGAGGCAGCAGUGGGGAAUAUUGCACAAUGGGCGAAAGCCUGAUGCAGCUAUGCCGCGUGUAUGAAGAAGGCCUUAGGGUUGUAAAGUACUUUCAGCGGGGAGGAAAAAAAUAAAAUUAACAAUUUUAU
This 376-nucleotide ribosomal RNA is filed under the name Aphis rubicola. RNAcentral's name for it is "bacterial SSU rRNA". It matches the Rfam family "Bacterial small subunit ribosomal RNA", at positions 95 to 471 of the family's 1533-position model. The record is from RNAcentral. Lineage: Eukaryota; Metazoa; Arthropoda; Insecta; Hemiptera; Aphididae.